CGUAAGAAUUAUAAACUAGUAUUUGAUUAUCAGCACAUUGCAGCAUAUUAUCGAGCCAUCGAGAUGUAUAUUACGUGCACAAUAUAUGGACAUCAUAUAGACGUAAAGUAUACGAGUAUCUCCUAUAAGUAAUAAGUCCUAUAAAAUGGUAAAUAUUUUAAAAUAAAACGACCACCCAAAACUGAAGACGAAAAUAUUAAAACAAAGUGUGAUCUCUGUAAUUACUAUACAAAAGAAUAUAAUGGCAGCACAUUAAGAUUCACAUGAAAUGUUUGCAUUCAUAUCAAGAGAAUGCACGAUAAUGUUCUGGAAAAUUUUGAAAAUUAUACAAAAGCUUCUGUUAAUGAACGUUCUGACGCGUCGAGGUAAAAAAAGAAAAUCAAACUACUCAAGCUCGAACAUCUCAAACACAUUUAAACAGCUAAAUGUGAAAUAAUAACAACGAACUUGUUUGAAGGCUUAAACAAUGUGGUAUAAUUUCUGAUUCAAACUCCCCAUGUGUCUCCGAUUUUUAUUAAGAAGAAAAAAGAGGUAGUAGAUUUUGUGUGGAUUACCGAAUUCUUAAUAAAAUAAAUGUGAGUUCUAUUAAAUCUUAUAUAUCUGAACAAUAUUGUACUGAUUAUUAGGUAUGAAAUUGUACAUUUAGAUUUUAGACACGUUUUUCGAUCAGUUAUUCAUAAGUAAGAACACUAUAGAGAAGACAAUAUAA
Long non-coding RNA from Aphis gossypii (cotton aphid), 709 nucleotides. RefSeq lists it as uncharacterized. Lineage: Eukaryota; Metazoa; Arthropoda; Insecta; Hemiptera; Aphididae. The transcript is spliced from 3 exons. The record is from RefSeq and is a predicted model, not a curated record.